RNAcentral lists this ribosomal RNA (497 nucleotides) under uncultured bacterium. Its description in RNAcentral is "partial 16S ribosomal RNA". It matches the Rfam family "Bacterial small subunit ribosomal RNA", at positions 28 to 507 of the family's 1533-position model. The record is from RNAcentral.
GAUGAACGCUGGCGGCGUGCCUAAUACAUGCAAGUCGAGCGAACGGACGAGAAGCUUGCUUCUCUGAUGUUAGCGGCGGACGGGUGGGUAACACGUGGAUAACCUACCUAUAAGACUGGGAUAACUUCGGGAAACCGGAGCUAAUACCGGAUAAUAUUUUGAACCGCAUGGUUCAAAAGUGAAAGACGGUCUUGCUGUCACUUAUAGAUGGAUCCGCGCUGCAUUAGCUAGUUGGUAAGGUAACGGCUUACCAAGGCAACGAUGCAUAGCCGACCUGAGAGGGUGAUCGGCAACACUGGAACUGAGACACGGUCCAGACUCCUACGGGAGGCAGCAGUAGGGAAUCUUCCGCAAUGGGCGAAAGCCUGACGGAGCAACGCCGCGUGAGUGAUGAAGGUCUUCGGAUCGUAAAACUCUGUUAUUAGGGAAGAACAUAUGUGUAAGUAACUGUGCACAUCUUGACGGUACCUAAUCAGAAAGCCACGGCUAACUACGUG